CGUCCCCAUGCGCUCAGCUGGGAGGGGGCGCCGCGUCCUCGUCCCCGCGCGGCCGCUUGCAGGUGAGCAUGAGCAGCAGCAGCAGCGGCAGGUGCCACAGGCUGCAGAAGAACAGUCUCCGCGAGCUCCUGCGGUCUGCGUCCACGUAGAAGCGGAAGCCGAGGAAGAGAGAGGGCAUCACAAUUUCUUCGGUGCUCAAGGCCCCUUGGAAUUCUUAAUGUGACCUCGUAGCCACCACAAAAACCGCGAAAUGAUCCAGACACCACAGAGGGGAAAAGGAACUUCCGACAUGCUGCAUUUCCUUGCUCGGGGGAGCCCUGUGACCCACGGGCUGCCUCGAAUGCACAGUGUUUUCUAUAUCUACCAAUCUGUAAAUAUCUCCCCUCCAAACCAGAUGGUUAGCUGGGCCUUCAAUACACGAGGCUGCAGGAUUUCCAUUUCAAAUCUUUGCCCAGCUGCUUCCUCUCCAUCUUGACUACCAUCUACUGAGCCCCAGGAAGGGCUUUUGCAAAAGUAUCCACAGUCAAGGUGACUGGGUGACUAAAGGUUGGUGCUGGCUAUUUGAUGUCCUGGCUCAUAAGGGAGUAUGUUCAGCGCAACCUGCCUCCCUUCAAACACGUAUCCUUCAUCCAUUUCCCCACUUGGAGGGUCACUGGUGGUAACAAGCUGUUUCUUCAAUGGAUGAUCAGAUUGACGCUUCACUACUUAAGAGGCAAAAUGUUAAAUUAACUAGGUAGGGCAAAGAGAGUGUGGGGGGGGCAGGUCUAGGGUAGGUGGAGCUCUAGUGCAGAGAGAAGGAAGUGGAGGAGAGGAAGUAGGAGGUGAGAGGAGGCACACAGGCUUGGAAGGACAAUAAAGGCAGGCUUCUGCAAUGUACUGACUUUCCAAUACCUCGGAGAACCUGCAGCACACUGUUAAAUGAUCCUGAAAGUAUGGCCCUGCUGUUAGGCUGCCUCAAGCUCCAGUGGGGCUUUCUCACCACUGAAUGAAGUAUGAGUUCCUCUA
Molecule: non-coding RNA, 1005 nt
Organism: Macaca mulatta (Rhesus monkey)
Lineage: Eukaryota; Metazoa; Chordata; Mammalia; Primates; Cercopithecidae
Source: RefSeq, a predicted model, not a curated record